AAUCUUGGCAUUAGUAGCAGCAUAGCAAGGUGAGAAUCCUUGCCGCCGAAAGGGCCAGGUUUCCUCGGCAAUGAUCGUCAGCCGAGGGUUAGUCGGUCCUAAGCCGCACCUUAACCGGAGUGCGACGAAAGGGAGACAGGUUAAUAUUCCUGUACUCGCACGCAACGAAACCGACGCUCGGGGCCAGCGCCGACAGUCCUGUCAGACUGCUCAAGCCAAUACGGCCGUGGAGAACCGUCACGGUGAGAAACGGCCUAACAGGUGAUGACGCAAGCGGCGUGACGCCCGGAGCCCAUGAAAAGGGAGCGUGCGAACCGUACCGAGAUCCGACACAGGUGCCCCUGGUUGAGAAGACCAAGGCGUGUCGGCACACCGUGGCCAAGGGAAUUCGGCAAAUUAGCCCCGUAACUUCGGGAUAAGGGGUGCCUGCCCUGAAGAGGGCAGGUCGCAGUGACGAGGGAGCACUAACUGUCUAAUAACAACAUAGCUGAUCGCCAAGCCGUAAGGCCUAGUACGAUCAGUGAAUCCUGCCCAGUGCGGGUACCUGAAAACCUCGCUCAGGGGGAAGAAGGGCCCGUCAACGGCGGGGGUAACUAUAACCCUCUUAAGGUAGCGUAGUACCUUGCCGCUUAAUUGGCGGCUUGCAUGAAUGGAUCAACGAGCGCUCCACUGUCCCUGGCCGGGCGCCGGUGAACAUUACAUCCUAGUGCAGAGUCUAGGGACCCCUAAUGGGAAGUGAAGACCCCGUGGAGCUUUACUGCAACCUGUCGCUGGGUUGUGGCCUUGGAUGUGCAGCGUAGGUAGGACCCGUCGAUCUCCAGGCGCCAGCCUGGAGGGAGGGGACAAUGAGACACUACCCUUCCUGGACUACGACCCUAACUCAGAGAUGAGGACCCCGAUAGGCGGGCAGUUUGGCUGGGGCGGCACGCCCUCGAAAAGAUAUCGAGGGCGCCCUAAGGUCAACUCAAUCGGGUCAGAAACCCGACCGAGAGUGUAAGAGCAUAAGUUGGCUUGACUGCCAUCCGCACAACGAGGAUGACAGAAACGAAAGUUGGGUCUAACGAACCACUAAGCCCCCCACGUGGGGGCUAUUGAUGUCAGAAAAGCUACCCCGGGGAUAACAGAGUCGUCGCCGGCAAGAGUACAUAUCGACCCGGCGGCUUGCUACCUCGAUGUCGGUUCUUUCCAUCCUGGCCGUGCAGCAGCGGCCAAGGGUGAGGUUGUUCGCCUAUUAAAGGAGAUCGUGAGCUGGGUUUAGACCGUCGUGAGACAGGUCGGUUACUAUCUGUUAGGGGUGCACUGUGGUCUGAGGGGAAGUUGCUUUUAGUACGAGAGGAACAAGGCAACGGCGCCGCUAGUCUACCAGUUGUCCGACAGGGCAUCGCUGGGCAGCCACGCGCCAAGUUGUAAGGGCUGAAAGCAUCUAAGCCCGAAAAACACCUCGAAAAGAGACCACACACGGGUACUCGUAAAAGACGAGCUUGAUAGAGUUGGGGCGUACGCGCCAAGGUAACGAGGCGCUCAACCCGCAACCACUAACCACCCAACCCGCCAAA
Molecule: ribosomal RNA, 1556 nt
Filed under: sediment metagenome
Description: bacterial LSU rRNA
Rfam family: Archaeal large subunit ribosomal RNA
Source: RNAcentral